Cyanistes caeruleus (blue tit) is the source of this 453-nucleotide non-coding RNA. The record is from RefSeq and is a predicted model, not a curated record. NCBI's taxonomy places the organism in Eukaryota, Metazoa, Chordata, Aves, Passeriformes, Paridae.
GGUAUCAAUAACCAUUGAAGUGGGGUGAUAUUAACAGCUGCACCUUCUUUCUGCUUCUGUUCCCUCUAGUGCAGAGCCAGGAGUUGUUAUUAGCUGUCCAAUUUGCAUGGACUAUUACUCAGAGAUUAUGCAAAGUGGACGACAGCUUUACACAACUGUGUGUGGCCACGUGUUCUGCAGCACGUGCCUCCCUGCUGCCCUGGAGAACACCGGCACGUGCCCAACCUGCAGAGAGGAACACGAUCCAGAAUUGUAUUUUCCAGUUUAUUUAUGAGUGUUUCUGCUUCUCAGGGCACUCUCAGGUGGAUCUGGGAGAUCCAACAGGCGGUGUAGAGGCUUCUUUCUUUCUUUAUGUAUAUAGUUCUUCUUUCUUUAUGUAUAUAGUUCUUUCUAUACCUAGUUUCAUUUUUUAUGUGUUCACUUAUAAAUAACGUUUUGAUUGAUUUAACUCUA